This 253-nucleotide ribosomal RNA is filed under the name uncultured bacterium. RNAcentral describes it as "partial 16S ribosomal RNA". It matches the Rfam family "Bacterial small subunit ribosomal RNA", at positions 524 to 776 of the family's 1533-position model. The record is from RNAcentral.
GACGUAGGGCGCGAGCGUUGUCCGGAUUUAUUGGGCGUAAAGGGCUCGUAGGCGGCCAACUAAGUCAGACGUGAAAUCCCUCGGCUUAACCGGGGAACUGCAUCUGAUACUGGAUGGCUUGAGUUCGGGAGAGGGAUGCGGAAUUCCAGGUGUAGCGGUGAAAUGCGUAGAUAUCUGGAGGAACACCGGUGGCGAAGGCGGCAUCCUGGACCGGCAUUGACGCUGAGGCGCGAAAGCCAGGGGAGCAAACGGG